RNAcentral lists this ribosomal RNA (253 nucleotides) under uncultured bacterium. RNAcentral describes it as "partial 16S ribosomal RNA". It matches the Rfam family "Bacterial small subunit ribosomal RNA", at positions 524 to 776 of the family's 1533-position model. The record is from RNAcentral.
UACGGGGGGGGCAAGCGUUGUUCGGAAUUACUGGGCGUAAAGGGCUCGUAGGCGGCCAACUAAGUCAGACGUGAAAUCCCUCGGCUUAACCGGGGAACUGCGUCUGAUACUGGAUGGCUUGAGUUUGGGAGAGGGACGCGGAAUUCCAGGUGUAGCGGUGAAAUGCGUAGAUAUCUGGAGGAACACCGGUGGCGAAGGCGGCGUCUUGGACCAACACUGACACUGAGGAGCGAAAGCCAGGGGAGCAAACGGG